Delphinapterus leucas (beluga whale) is the source of this 3691-nucleotide non-coding RNA. Lineage: Eukaryota; Metazoa; Chordata; Mammalia; Artiodactyla; Monodontidae. The record is from RefSeq and is a predicted model, not a curated record.
UUUCUUCUCCCCUUUAUAGUGAGUCCUUGGCUGAGGCUUCUCCUUUUCUAGGGCAUCUUGUAAAUGGAUAAGCUUACCGAAGUUGAAAGUUCUCCACUAUGGCCUCUCUAAUUCAAGAUUAUCUUUGAUAAGUUUAACCUGCUAGUUCAGCCUUAAAACACAAUUUUUUUCACCUGAGGCCUCAUACUGGCUCGCUCCGGCUCAAGUCAGAUCCAGGCGUGAGCCUUUCUACGUCAGACCAAUCAGCCUCCAUCAGGUUUCCGGACCCAGGCCAGAAAAAGGAAGGCUCAGAUGGUCGGAAAGCUCGCGAGGCAAGAGCUGCGGGUCCAGGAUCCAGGACCGCGAGGACUUGCCCAGCACCUCCAGAGGCAGCGAGAAAACAGCCAGCUCCAGGGACUCAGCAGGGAAACUCAAGAUUUAUAGUAAAUGAAUGACAGCAGUUCAAGAAUCACUUCCUCCUGUGGUACCUUCCGGAGGACGAAGGUAAAAAUCACCCAGAUACAGGGGUUAUUGAUGAGGUGUUCAGAGCCUCAGCAUCAGUGGCGACCACAGAGGAGCUGAGGACUUAAGAUCUUAUGGGAAAGAUAAGAUUUGUCAUCGCUUCCCAUUUUCAAGUGCUCCUGAGUACCAUGUGCAUUGGGGAACUGAAAAAGGAGCCUGUCUGUACUUGAGAGCGGGCCCCUCCAACACUGCGGUCAGCUCACACGUGGUUUGCGGUGUUCAGCUUUCGACGGGAAUGUGGCUGGUCUCUCUGGAGGUUGGGAGACACCAUGCUGAGAAACAAGAUGACACCAGCCGAAGAAAUCUACACAGGAUGGAUCCUCUAAGGUAUGAAGGUGAAACUGCCCAUUUUGUUCCCUGCUCUAUCUACAGUCAGACAUCAGAACAGCUCCUGGUUCCCAGUAAGCACUAAAUAGGAGCUGGACAGAAGUUUGUAUUACAGGCUCGUAGCACUGGAGGUUUCUGCCGGAGCAGACAACUUGACGAAGGCCGGCCCUGCUGAACACAAUGGACGGAUCGGGUCUGGACCCCUCCUCCACAGGUGCAGACUUCAUCUUGGACAAGCAUCACUAUAUGGAUUGGCAUUUGAGAGGAAAAAAUACAUUGAGUGCUCCGGAACUCCUAAAAGUAAGCUCCACUGGCCUCCAAGGCCAGACGUCCUGAAGGCUCAUCUUCCUGGUGCAGAUCCCUCACUCCCUGGGGACAAGCUCUGCAACUGUAGCUAUUCUCCCAUUUGUGAAUCACCCACCUGGGGGUAUACUGCGACUCUGCCUCUCCUACCCAUCUCACUGUGGCUCCUCCUUUACAUCCUUAGUUGUAGAAGAUCUUUUGCUGUCUGAGACUUGGUGUACACUGAAGAAUGAUCAACUGCAACCAAGAAUCCUUGUCAACAACUGGCUGUGAUUAGUUGAAAUUCUCUGAUUCGAAGGCCUAGCAUUAAAAAGAUCCACCAGAUAGGAUGACGAUACGUUUCAAAGCAUCAAUGUCUAAAACUGCUCUUGGUUUACAAAUCUUCUAAGUAUCAUUUGAAAGCAUAAAAACAUCACUGAGACCAAAUGUGUGUUUGUUACACGUCUGCAUUUCUGCAUCUUCCUAGUCCUUUGAUAUUUGCUCUGGUUUCCCCUGCCCCCCACAAGCCUGAGGUGUGAGGUUAAAGACCUUUCUUUCUGUUAGUCCAGAGAAUUUAGUACAUGAGUUCUAGGAUUCUAAGUAUUCUAAAACAUUGCAUAAUCCAUGUUAUCUUAGUUAAAGAGAGAUGAUACCAAAUAAAAGAAUUCCUUAUAUUUGUGUAAUCAUUUUCUCUUACAGUAAGAUGCAAAGAAAAGAUAAAUAUUAUCAUGAAAUUAUUAGUUUUAAUCAACCCCGACCUCACAGACCUGAUUCCUCUACUUUCCAUUUUCUCCCUUAUUGCCUUUUUUUUUUUUUUUUUGGCCGUGUCUUGUGCCUUGUGCAGAGUCCUAACCGCUGGACCACCAGGGAAGUCCCCUUACUGCUUUUUUAUAUUUAUCAUUUUUAUAGCACGUAUCUCACUGCAUCUCAAUUAUCUGUUUACACAUCCACCUCUUCCAUUCGACGGUGGGUUCAUUGAUGGCAGGAACUACAAGCUAUUCAUCUCCACCUUCCAGUCCUCAGCUGAGGGCCUGGCGUACCGUAGGGCAUAUAACAUGGUCAUUACAUGGGAAAAUAAUGGAGUUAGAUCAGAUGAACUCCUUUGUCCUUAGAGCUCUAAUAGUCUAAGCCCUUAUUUCUAGUAUAUCUCUGCAGAAGAAUAGUCCCUAAAAGGUCCCAUUAUUCAACAGGAAAUACUGAGAUAAAUAAUAGGGUUGCAGGGAAUUCCCUGGAAGUCCAGUUGUUAGGACUUCGCAGGUUUGAUCCCCGGUCAGGGAACUAAGAUCCUGCAUGCCUCUCACUGCGAGGCCAAAAAAAAAUAGGGUGGCAUAAAAGGGAAAAGAAGCAAAAGACACUGCCCAUUUCACUCCAACUCUGCAGAGUCACUGCAGGGGCUGUUCUGCUUUUAAAGAGCCAGCAAACUUGUUACUACACAGAAUAUCAUUUCUACGUGGAGCCAUCAGGAAAGUUCUGGGAGUUAAGCAUGACCAACGCUCUCUCUUCCUUUUCAUGGAUGUACAUACGAAUGGGGUUCCUUUCUUUUCUUGGUGGAGAUAAACAAUGAUGGAAAGGAGGCUAAAAACAAGAAAAUAUUAGCUUGCCAUUCAAGUGUACUGACAAUCCCUACACGUACCUAAACGUACACAUGUGCGCGGGCACACGCGCACACAGCCCCAUCUAAGGGAGAGAUUAUUCCACAAGGAUCAAUAACACUGUCUGGUUAUCACGUCUUAGAGCCACGGGAUAUUUUUAGAGCCAGACAUUUCUUAGCAAGAGAGAAAAUUCCAUGGAAGCCCCCCACAUGUCCUUCUCCUUUUUGUGUUCAGGAUACAGCUGGUUCCAAACUCUAAGGGAAAAACGGAGUUGACAGUUGGACCUAGGGGAUCGGUGGGGAGCUGAAGCCCCAAACGAUUAUGACAAAUACACUAUUUACAAGGAAAAAAAUAUGUAUGUAUAUAAAAAGAUUGUGCAAUAUAAUCGCAUCACCACAAAGCAAACGCCACUUACUAAGAUGAUCGGAAACAGCGGGGAACACAACAGUGCUGUAGGAGAAACGCUGUCAACUCUAUAUAAAUACAUUUGGCAGAAGAUAAAUCAAACAAGAAGAGACUCCAUUUGGCUGGGAACGUUAGUUAAAAUUAGCGUUCAAAUAGUAGUGUGGCUAAAAUCAAUCCAAAAGCAAACCCACUGAGCUCCCCACCGUGUCUCUUCAUCAAAAACGGGGUUACCACUUGGGCUCUACACCCUUCCUUUUAACUUUGUGUCUUGCUACUGUGUAAUUUGCAUUUGGGCUUUCGUGGGUUGUAGAGUAAUAUGAUUUUUAAAUUCUUGGAUGACUCUAUAAACGUUAAGCAUACAACCACAUAGAGAUUUAACUAACAUACGAUUCUGUGUUAUUUAAAUAUCUGUUUUAGUUCAGAGAAGAGGGGUCUCUAUGAAAAGGUUGAAAAAAGAUGUCUUUAUGCCUUUUUUUUUACCCCAAGGUUAUGGUGGCAGAGCCAGAGUCUGAGUGUGUGAAGCAAAUUUGUGCUUUUCAAGUUAUAUAUUUUAACUGCAACUCUUGUCUCCUUUCUUAUAUUUG